Molecule: long non-coding RNA, 419 nt
Filed under: Sparus aurata (gilthead seabream)
Lineage: Eukaryota; Metazoa; Chordata; Actinopteri; Spariformes; Sparidae
Description: lncRNA (ENSSAUG00010005639.1)
Source: RNAcentral
ACACAGGAGGUUUGAUGGUUUGGUCGCCUCCACCUGAAGCUGUUAUAGGUUAAAGCUCGUCCUCUGUGGGGGUUCAGACAGAACGGAGGUGAGACUGUUUCAAAACGGAAGCCACAUAAAGUUUCCGUUUUAGCAAGAGAGCAACAGUGAGAGGAGAAGAGAAGAGAAGCAGCUGUGAGGAGUGAAGCUGCAGUCGUCUGUCAGAAGUCAUCCACAAGAGGAACAAGCGACAGAUCACCAACCACAGUCUGUUCACCCUGCUGCAUCAUGGCAACAGAUCCAGACCACCAGGAUUCAGCAGUCUGUCUUUGAAGAGUUAUCGCUCCACUGGAUAUGCUCUACUGUUCAUGACUAAACCUCUGGCACACAGAGAUUUCUUCCAAAGCCAAAGAAGAGUCUGUGGUCACUAUGACGAGUGA